UACGUAGGGGGCAAGCGUUGUCCGGAAUCAUUGGGCGUAAAGAGCGUGUAGGCGGCUUGGUAAGUCCGCUGUGAAAGUCCAGGGCUCAACCCUGGAAUGCCGGUGGAAACUGUCAAGCUUGAGUCCGGAAGAGGCGAGUGGAAUUCCUGGUGUAGCGGUGAAAUGCGGCAGAGUAUCAGGAGGAACACCAAUGGCGAAGGCAGCUCGCUGGGACGGUACUGACGCUGAGACGGCGAAAGCGUGGGGAGCAAACAGG
RNAcentral lists this ribosomal RNA (256 nucleotides) under uncultured bacterium. Its description in RNAcentral is "partial 16S ribosomal RNA". It matches the Rfam family "Bacterial small subunit ribosomal RNA", at positions 524 to 776 of the family's 1533-position model. The record is from RNAcentral.